RNAcentral lists this long non-coding RNA (1382 nucleotides) under Bos taurus (domestic cattle). RNAcentral describes it as "long non-coding RNA NONBTAT001252". Lineage: Eukaryota; Metazoa; Chordata; Mammalia; Artiodactyla; Bovidae. The record is from RNAcentral.
AGAAAGCGUGGUAAGUGCAACACCUGACUAUCCAUCAUUGAGUGUUGUUUGCUGAGGCUUCUAUCUCUAUCAUUUAUUUUGUGAUCCUAACAGGUUGACCUUUAUAUCUGAGAAAAGAUGUAAAAGUUGUAGUAUUGGAAAUACUGUAAAAAGACAAACCUUGGAAGAACACCCUGGUAUACACAGAUUUUGUUGUGCCUUCCAAAGAAGCUGGGGAAAAGGAGUAUCAUAUGAUGACUGUGAUGAUCUUAAUAGCACUGCUUCAGGUAGUGCUCCCAUUUGGGGGAAUGUAUGUCAACCUAUCAUUUCCUCCUAGGGUCCUGAAUAUUUUUGUGUUCUAAGUCCAUUCUCUUGGCCAGUAUCCCCAAAGUGAUUUGUCUCUCACUGAAUUCUUAUUCUGCGUCAUAUUGUGGCAUGUUAGUUUUGGCCCUAAACUCAAGGUGAUAAUUAGGUACUAUUUGUUCUAUUAGAAUGUUUUUAUGUUUGUGGUUUUUUUUUUUUUCUUUUACUAUACAGUUUAAAUUCAGUUAUUUGGCCAAAAUGGUCUUUGCAGAAAGCAGUUAGAAAAGAUUACUUGUUAAUUAGUUCUGUGUUCACAGACCAAUAUUUAGUCUCCACAAAUGGGGAAGAUGUUCCUGAAGGACUGUUUAACAGAUGAGCUAUUUAAAGGGGUCAAAGGACUUACUUAUCACCUCUAAUUUAUGUCUUCUCUGCAACCAAUCAAGAUGGAAAUUUUAACUGAUGGUGCUAUUUAUGUUUUUUGUUUACAGAAUAGGAUGUAACUUAGUGAAAAAUGUAUUCCAUGUCUUAGCAUUAUCUGUUAUUUUGUAGUUUUAAAGAAUAAGACAUUAAGAAGAAAAAUCUGUUUGGCUCACCAUUCUGAUACCAAGGAUAACUCUUGGAAAAAAUAACUCUGAAACAGAAACUUAUGAGAGGAAAAGGCACUGAAUAAUCUUUUUUUUAAAAAAAGUCUUUGAAAAGUGAAUCCAUAUAACACCUUCUUAAUCAUUAACUUGGGCAAAAGCUCUAGACGCAUUUGUACCAAUUAAUGCAAGUGAUUUUCUCUUCUUCAUUUUUAAAACAAAGUCCACCCUACAAGUUUGAAUAAUAAGAGAGUUGUAGGAGGAAUUUAUGUACUCUAUUGCCCAAAGCAAAUGGUAAUCCUUCUGCUCUUGAGCUCUAGUUUGUGUAUAUAUAAGUAAUUGUGAUCAUGUAGUAUAAUCAUAUUUAUAAUAUAGUAAUUGUUUUUACAUGGCAUUUUUAUUCCGAUUUUAAAAAUAAAUAUUCAUUAUAGAAUAUUUGAAAAUUCAACAUAUAAAAAAUGUUACUGUUACAUACUUUUUUAAUAAGCUUGAAGAUAUUAUUUUAAUAAAGUUACCCAA